Molecule: long non-coding RNA, 431 nt
Organism: Homo sapiens (human)
Lineage: Eukaryota; Metazoa; Chordata; Mammalia; Primates; Hominidae
Exons: 2
Source: RefSeq, marked validated
GGGUAGGGAGACUGAACCAAGGAGACAGGAGAUGAAGAUUCCUCCAUGAACCAUUACAUUGGCCACAGAGAUGGGUCCAUGACAAAAUUUGUGUCAACACUUGUCAAUCCUAGGGGUUUUCUUUUGAGUUCUCAGGGGAGUAGACUCCCUGUGUAUCACUGACCAUGAAGCUGAACACAUGCAGUCCCAGGAGCUGCUGGCAGCCACGUGCCCACCAACAAUCAAGAGCUAAGAAUUGGGCAACAUCAUGGAAGGAAGACUGUGGGGAAAAAGAAACUGAGUCCCUGCUGAGGCUUGUUGCUUACCUGAGGCCAACCAUGCCCUUGAACUCUUCUCUUUUGUGAAGAGAUACAUUCUCUUUACUUUUAAAAAUUCAUUUUAUUGAAUCUUCUCUUCCUUGCAACCUGUAAAUAUAUUCAUAUUACAAAGUC